GAAAUGCGAUAAUUAAUGUGAAUUGCAGAAUUCAGUGAAUCAUCGAGUCUUUGAACGCACAUUGCGCCCCCUGGUAUUCCGGGGGGCAUGCCUGUCCGAGCGUCAUUGCGAACCCCUCAAGCACGGCUUGUGUGAUGGGCCCUCCCGCGUCUUGGUCGUCAAGACGGGCCCGAAAAGCAGUGGCGGCUUCGCGGUUAUCCGAUCAGCCAGAGCGUAUGGGGACUUUCUCUCUGUCACACGCCCGCGGCGCGGACCGACGCCUGUCGACCUUUAUUCAUCUUUUUCUCGGUUGACCUCGGAUCAGGUAGGGAUACCCGCUGAACUUAAGC
This 329-nucleotide unclassified non-coding RNA is filed under the name plant metagenome. Its description in RNAcentral is "partial contains 5.8S ribosomal RNA, internal transcribed spacer 2, and large subunit ribosomal RNA". The stretch from base 1 to 105 matches the Rfam family "5.8S ribosomal RNA", at positions 50 to 154 of the family's 154-position model. The record is from RNAcentral.